AUGUACCCACACCGCCCUACCGGCGAGUACCGGCUGUUACUGCAACAGAGGAACAACACUGACUCGUCUAGACAUCAAACUGGCCGCUGCUAUGUCUUUGCGCUGGGCUCCCACCAGCCACGGAGGUAUGUCGGGUGCUCGGAGAUCAAAUUAGCAUUCUUAGAUGUAGCUGUCCGGCUACGUGAUAGCCUGCACUGGUACCCGGUGCUGUAUGAGACUGAAAGCAGGCCAUGGGAGUAUGUGGGUAAAAGCGAACUGAUAAUCGUAUUCGACACCACAACUGAGUCGUUUCGGCAGAUGCGUGCUCCACCUGUCCCCACCAGCUCACGUAUCUGUGAGAUGGAUGACACGCUUGGCAUCUAUAGCUGUAACUGGGCCAUGGAAACUGUCGAUAUAUGGGUGCUGCACAACUACGAAAGUGAGGUUUGGGAUUUGAAGUACCGGGUUCAAUUGCCAGUCGCACAAAUCUGGGGGAACCUUGAAGGCAUUGUUGGUACUCUAGCCUAUUGGCAUGUGACCGUUGCUUUGAGUGAUGGCGACGUGCUCUUGCUGGUCAGACUUGGGCGUUCGCUGUUUUACGUUGACACUGAUGGCAAGCUGAUUGCUAUUUUCCGAGACAUCUCAGCCUAUAAACAUUGGCUCAAACAAACUCUUGUACCUCAUGAUUUCUUCAUGACACUAGACGGUUAUGCUGCGGACGCUUCGCCUUUCAUCUGA
RNAcentral lists this ribosomal RNA (717 nucleotides) under Triticum aestivum (bread wheat). RNAcentral's name for it is "partial small subunit ribosomal RNA". The record is from RNAcentral. Lineage: Eukaryota; Viridiplantae; Streptophyta; Magnoliopsida; Poales; Poaceae.